Erinaceus europaeus (western European hedgehog) is the source of this 2563-nucleotide long non-coding RNA. RefSeq lists it as uncharacterized. Lineage: Eukaryota; Metazoa; Chordata; Mammalia; Eulipotyphla; Erinaceidae. The record is from RefSeq and is a predicted model, not a curated record. The transcript has 3 exons.
AAGAUGGCCGCCCCCGCCCCGCCACCGAGGCCAUCGCAGUAAUGGAGACGCCGCAGGGCGCCUCAGCCCGCUGCAGACCCCGCGUGCAGCAGAGAGGACAGAGAGUCACCACAGCACUGGAACGUACCCUAGAGUCAUGGCAUUCCUGUGUACUGCCAGGUCUUGGAUCCAGGUCAUGCAUAUGGCAAGCAACAGAUUGAUGCCAUAAAGAUGCAACCUAUACAAGCUCAUUAUCAUAGUCUGGACAUGGCAGAAUAUGGAGUUGCUGCAGAGGAUUUGCCUCCCUCCAUCGGAACGUCCACCAUGUAGAGGGCUGGCUAGCCAAUGACGGGUAAAGGGGAAACUAGCGCUAUCCAGUCAACCUAAGAUAGGGCACCUGGUACUACUGGGCAAAAAUGACCAGGUGUUCCAAUGACAGGUAAGACAGAAGGCUGAUCCCCAACCUAAGACAGGCACAGUCCACCCUACCACAAAACAAAGUCCGCCAAACAUCAAAACAUGAUAUAAGAUAGGGGGACAUGUGGGAAGCCACAUGUGCCCUCAAGGUUGCUAUUGGCAUGGCCAUAGAGUCUUUGUUAAAAGAUAAGUUCCUGGGAGUUGGGCGGUAGCACAGCAGGUUAAGCACACAUGGUGCAAAGUGCAAGGACUGGCAUAAAGAUCCUGGUUCAGGCCCCUGGCUCCCCAUCUGCAGGGGGUUUCUUCACAAUCGGUGAAGCAGGUCUGCAGGUGUCUCUCUUUCUCUCCUCCUCUCUGUCUUCCCUUCCUCUCUCCAUUUCUCUGUCCUAUCCAACAACCACAAUAUUAAUAACAACAAUAAUAAUAAUUACAACAAUAAAACAACAAGAGUGACAAAAGGCAAUAAAUAAAUAAAUAAAUAAAUACUUAAAAAAAAGAUAGUUCCCGCUUCCCUACACCUUAGAGUCUUUGUUAAAAGAUAAGUUCUUCUUCCCUGUGAAUCAUCCAGGACCUUCCAGAUAACGGCUGAUUACCAUGACAAAUAAAAAUAAUCGGGAGUCGGGCUGUAGCACAGCGGGUUAAGCGCAGGUGGCGCAAAGCACAAGGACCGGCAUAAGGAUCCCGGUUCGAACCCCGGCUCCCCACCUGCAGGGGAGUCGCUUCACAGGCAGUGAAGCAGGUCUGCAGGUGUCUAUCUUUCUCUCCUCCUCUCUGUCUUCCCCUCUUCUCUCCAUUUCUCUCUGUCCUAUCUAGAAACGAUAACUACAACAAAAACAACAAGGGCAACAAAAGGGAAUAAAUAAAUAAAUAAAAUAAAUAUUUAAAAAAGUAAAUAAAAAUAAUAAUAAAUAAGAAAGAUAAAUCCCCCAAUACUCAGUUGGCUAAGACACCAAACCUCUUUUUCUAUAAAAAAUUCAAAUCAGAUGCCCUGCUAACCACCAGAAGCAGAUUGUUUGUCUUUCUUCCACAGGACUCCCAGAAAAAAACAUCUGGACCCCUGCACACCCUGACAUCACCCACUAGAUGGCAUGACUACAAUGGCACCCCCCGCCGAAACCCUAGAUGUCACCUGAUGCAAUCUGAAGAGCCUGAUUCACAGACUCCAAGGACAGAACUUUUUUAUUGCCUGUCUGCCUUUCCUGCUUCUGCUUUUCCUGUCACAUGUUGGCGGUUCCAGCUCACUCUCUACAGAAAAGCGGAAAUCCAGUGGCUGACCUUCCUCAUGCAGCAUUUCAUCCUCUGCCAUUUCUCCCCCUAGUCGCCUACUUUGGACUGAGACUUCUAUCAGACUUGCUGGUAUACCCUUUGGACACUUUAGACAAUUUUACAGCAGCUUCCUUCCCUUCACGUUGCUGGUUUUUCAUAGACUGACCCUGAGUAGUUCGUAGACUUUACAGACUGUUGCCCUGGCCAUUAGAUAAAAGGAAAGGGGGAGAUGCUGGGAAAUUGUGCAGAUGCAGUCACAUCUGCCAUGUUGUCCCCUCAGGCUACUGCUAGUUCCUGCAAGAGUUGGGACAUUCUUGGAGUGCCUGUUCUGCCAUGUUGUGCCCUCAGGGCAUUGUCUAUUUCCCUGCGAUAUUUGGAGUGCUUUGGUUACUCCUCUCCCCCUCCCAUUCUCACAAGAGUUAUUAUCCUAUCCUGGAGUGCUAUGGUUACUCCUCCCCCUUCCCAUUCUCGCAAAAGCUGCUCCUAUAAAAGCCCUUCUUCCACACCUCUCUCUCUUGCCGGCGCUUCACCUCUCUUGCGACGCUUCACACCUCUUGCCGGCACUUCACCUCUCUUGCCGGCACUUCACCUCUCUUGCUGGUGCUUCACCUCUCUUGCAGCACUCCACUUCAGUGUUUAGACGCAGGAAAGGUUACUGCAUGAGGCAGCCAUUUUCGCUACCUCCACGCAGCCCAACUGUUUCUCUCACACCCAACUCUGAGGUGCCAGCGCAAAUAAAGAUUUGUGUUCCCUCUUUGCCCCAGACCUCCUCUCUCUCUUCUCCGUGGCACAGAACGACAGUUUUACAGAAUGCCCUCAUUUUGAUUCACUCAGGACCCAGAUUCAAGCCUCUGGCCCCCACCUGCAAGAGGAAAGCUUCAUGAGUGAUGACGCAGGGCUG